AGUGGCGAACGGGUGAGUAACACGUGGGCAACCUGCCCAAAGGAGGGGGAUAACACUUGGAAACAGGUGCUAAUACCGCAUAACCAUAGUUACCGCAUGGUAACUAUGUAAAAGGUGGCUAUACUACCGCUUUUGGAUGGGCCCGCGGCGCAUUAGCUAGUUGGUAGGGUAAAGGCUUACCAAGGCAAUGAUGCGUAGCCGAAUUGAGAGGUUGAUCGGCCACAUUGGGACUGAGACACGGCCCAAACUCCUACGGGAGGCAGCAG
RNAcentral lists this ribosomal RNA (266 nucleotides) under uncultured bacterium. RNAcentral's name for it is "partial 16S ribosomal RNA". It matches the Rfam family "Bacterial small subunit ribosomal RNA", at positions 94 to 354 of the family's 1533-position model. The record is from RNAcentral.